RNAcentral lists this non-coding RNA (29 nucleotides) under Homo sapiens (human). Lineage: Eukaryota; Metazoa; Chordata; Mammalia; Primates; Hominidae. The record is from RNAcentral.
UAUCUCCAGCCUUCUCUCUGUAUCCAGUU